RNAcentral lists this ribosomal RNA (440 nucleotides) under uncultured bacterium. RNAcentral's name for it is "partial 16S ribosomal RNA". It matches the Rfam family "Bacterial small subunit ribosomal RNA", at positions 338 to 795 of the family's 1533-position model. The record is from RNAcentral.
CCUACGGGAGGCAGCAGUAGGGAAUAUUGCUCAAUGGGGGAAACCCUGAAGCAGCAACGCCGCGUGGAGGAUGAAGGUUUUCGGAUUGUAAACUCCUUUUGUUAGAGAAGAUAAUGACGGUAUCUAACGAAUCAGCACCGGCUAACUCCGUCCCAGCAGCCGCGGUCAUACGGAGGGUGCAAGCGUUACGCGGAAUCACUGGGCGUAAAGAGCGCGUAGGCGGGAUAGCAAGUCAGAUGUGAAAUCCUAUGGCUUAACCAUAGAACUGCAUUUGAAACUGUUAUUCUAGAGUAUGGGAGAGGUAGGUGGAAUUCUUGGUGUAGGGGUAAAAUCCGUAGAGAUCAAGAGGAAUACUCAUUGCGAAGGCGACCUGCUAGAACAUAACUGACGCUGAUGCGCGAAAGCGUGGGGAGCAAACAGGAUUAGAUACCCCUGUAGUC